AGCUUUAUAGUUUAAAAAAAACAUUAAUCUUGUAAAUUAAAAUUAAAAUAAAUUUUUUAGCUU
RNAcentral lists this transfer RNA (63 nucleotides) under Pimpla luctuosa. RNAcentral describes it as "tRNA-Thr". Lineage: Eukaryota; Metazoa; Arthropoda; Insecta; Hymenoptera; Ichneumonidae. The record is from RNAcentral.